UCGAGCGGUUGACGGGAGCUUGCUCCCUGAUUCAGCGGCGGACGGGUGAGUAAUGCCUAGGAAUCUGCCUAUUAGUGGGGGACAACGUUUCGAAAGGAACGCUAAUACCGCAUACGUCCUACGGGAGAAAGCAGGGGACCUUCGGGCCUUGCGCUAAUAGAUGAGCCUAGGUCGGAUUAGCUUGUUGGUGAGGUAAUGGCUCACCAAGGCGACGAUCCGUAACUGGUCUGAGAGGAUGAUCAGUCACACUGGAACUGAGACACGGUCCAGACUCCUACGGGAGGCAGCAGUGGGGAAUAUUGGACAAUGGGCGAAAGCCUGAUCCAGCCAUGCCGCGUGUGUGAAGAAGGUCUUCGGAUUGUAAAGCACUUUAAGUUGGGAGGAAGGGUUGUAGAUUAAUACUCUGCAAUUUUGACGUUACCGACAGAAUAAGCACCGGCUAACUCUGUGCCAGCAGCCGCGGUAAUACAGAGGGUGCAAGCGUUAAUCGGAAUUACUGGGCGUAAAGCGCGCGUAGGUGGUUUGUUAAGUUGGAUGUGAAAGCCCCGGGCUCAACCUGGGAACUGCAUCCAAAACUGGCAAGCUAGAGUACGGUAGAGGGUGGUGGAAUUUCCUGUGUAGCGGUGAAAUGCGUAGAUAUAGGAAGGAACACCAGUGGCGAAGGCGACCACCUGGACUGAUACUGACACUGAGGUGCGAAAGCGUGGGGA
RNAcentral lists this ribosomal RNA (710 nucleotides) under uncultured Pseudomonas sp. RNAcentral describes it as "bacterial SSU rRNA". It matches the Rfam family "Bacterial small subunit ribosomal RNA", at positions 62 to 767 of the family's 1533-position model. The record is from RNAcentral. Lineage: Bacteria; Pseudomonadati; Pseudomonadota; Gammaproteobacteria; Pseudomonadales; Pseudomonadaceae.